This 71-nucleotide transfer RNA is filed under the name Candidatus Berkelbacteria bacterium CG_4_10_14_0_2_um_filter_35_9_33_12. Its description in RNAcentral is "tRNA-Gln". It matches the Rfam family "tRNA". Rfam says of the family: Transfer RNA (tRNA) molecules are approximately 80 nucleotides in length. RNAcentral also lists the same sequence under 1 other name. Lineage: Bacteria; Candidatus Berkelbacteria. The record is from RNAcentral.
UGCCCGAUCGUCUAAUGGUAGGACAGCACCCUUUGGAGGUGUUUAUUGAGGUUCGAAUCCUUGUCGGGCAA